RNAcentral lists this ribosomal RNA (451 nucleotides) under uncultured bacterium. Its description in RNAcentral is "bacterial SSU rRNA". It matches the Rfam family "Bacterial small subunit ribosomal RNA", at positions 8 to 507 of the family's 1533-position model. The record is from RNAcentral.
AGAGUUUGAUCCUGGCUCAGAACGAACGCUGGCGCAUGCUUAACACAUGCAAGUCGAACGAGACCUUCGGGUCUAGUGGCGCACGGGUGCGUAACGCGUGGGAAUCUGCCCUUUGCUACGGAAUAACUCAGAGAAAUUUGUGCUAAUACCGUAUAAUGUCGUAAGACCAAAGAUUUAUCGGCAAAGGAUGAGCCCGCGUAAGAUUAGCUUGUUGGUGAGGUAAAGGCUCACCAAGGCGACGAUCUUUAGCUGGUCUGAGAGGAUGAUCAGCCACACUGGGACUGAGACACGGCCCAGACUCCUACGGGAGGCAGCAGUGGGAAUAUUGGACAAUGGGCGAAAGCCUGAUCCAGCAAUGCUGCGUGAGUGAUGAAGGCCUUAGGGUUGUAAAGCUCUUUUACCAGGGAUGAUAAUGACAGUACCUGGAGAAUAAGCUCCGGCUAACUCCGUG